AUUGAACGCUGGCGGCAUGCCUAACACAUGCACGUCGAGCGAGCGGCGGACGGGUGAGUAAUGUCUGGGAAACUUCCUUAUGGAAGUGGAUAACUAUUGGAAACGGGAGCUAAUACCCCAUAUUAUCAUAACUGCCCAGAUGGGAUUAGCUGGUAGGUGUGGUAACGGCUCACCUAGGCGACCAUACCUAGCUGUUCUGAGAGGCUGACCAGCCAAACUGGAACUGAGACACGGGCCAGACUCCUACGGGAGGCAGCAGUGGGGAAUAUUGCACAAUGGGCGCAAGCCUGAUGCAGCAAGGCCGCGUGUGUGAAGAAGGCCUUCGGGUUGUAAAGCACUGUCAGCGGGGAGGCGUUACCCGAAGAGGAAGCACCGGCUAACUCCGUGCCAGCAGCCGCGGUAAUAC
This 406-nucleotide ribosomal RNA is filed under the name uncultured bacterium. RNAcentral's name for it is "partial 16S ribosomal RNA". It matches the Rfam family "Bacterial small subunit ribosomal RNA", at positions 30 to 526 of the family's 1533-position model. The record is from RNAcentral.